UUUCGGGGUAAGAACUGGUUUAGC
RNAcentral lists this non-coding RNA (24 nucleotides) under Cricetulus griseus (Chinese hamster). Lineage: Eukaryota; Metazoa; Chordata; Mammalia; Rodentia; Cricetidae. The record is from RNAcentral.